This 759-nucleotide ribosomal RNA is filed under the name Parahaemophilus parainfluenzae. RNAcentral's name for it is "Haemophilus parainfluenzae bacterial SSU rRNA". It matches the Rfam family "Bacterial small subunit ribosomal RNA", at positions 28 to 776 of the family's 1533-position model. Lineage: Bacteria; Pseudomonadati; Pseudomonadota; Gammaproteobacteria; Pasteurellales; Pasteurellaceae. The record is from RNAcentral.
AUUGAACGCUGGCGGCAGGCUUAACACAUGCAAGUCGAACGGUAACAUAAAGAAGCUUGCUUCUUUGAUGACGAGUGGCGGACGGGUGAGUAAUGCUUGGGAAUCUGGCUUAUGGAGGGGGAUAACUACGGGAAACUGUAGCUAAUACCGCGUAGAAUCGGGAGAUGAAAGUGUGGGACCUUCGGGCCACAUGCCAUAGGAUGAGCCCAAGUGGGAUUAGGUAGUUGGUGAGGUAAAGGCUCACCAAGCCGACGAUCUCUAGCUGGUCUGAGAGGGUGACCAGCCACACUGGGACUGAGACACGGCCCAGACUCCUACGGGAGGCAGCAGUGGGGAAUAUUGCGCAAUGGGGGCAACCCUGACGCAGCCAUGCCGCGUGAAUGAAGAAGGCCUUUGGGUUGUAAAGUUCUUUCGGUAGCGAGGAAGGCAUUUAGUUUAAUAAACUGGAUGAUUGACGUUAACUACAGAAGAAGCACCGGCUAACUCCGUGCCAGCAGCCGCGGUAAUACGGAGGGUGCGAGCGUUAAUCGGAAUAACUGGGCGUAAAGGGCACGCAGGCGGUGACUUAAGUGAGGUGUGAAAGCCCCGGGCUUAACCUGGGAAUUGCAUUUCAUACUGGGUCGCUAGAGUACUUUAGGGAGGGGUAGAAUUCCACGUGUAGCGGUGAAAUGCGUAGAGAUGUGGAGGAAUACCGAAGGCGAAGGCAGCCCCUUGGGAAUGUACUGACGCUCAUGUGCGAAAGCGUGGGGAGCAAACAGG